Molecule: unclassified non-coding RNA, 161 nt
Filed under: uncultured fungus
Lineage: Eukaryota; Fungi
Description: sequence contains ITS1, 5.8S rRNA gene
Source: RNAcentral
CUGGGUUUUGGGCCUCGUGCCCGCCAUCCCGCCCUUUGUCAUACGCAACUCGUCUUUUCGGCCUGGCUGCGCACCCCGUGGAGACACGGGGUGUCGCGGCGGGUCGGCAUUGCAAACCCAAGUGGAAUUUUGAAGUCUGAAGAAAUGCAUAACGAAAAAUA